Molecule: long non-coding RNA, 315 nt
Filed under: Salvia miltiorrhiza (redroot sage)
Lineage: Eukaryota; Viridiplantae; Streptophyta; Magnoliopsida; Lamiales; Lamiaceae
Description: long non-coding RNA (SMIL_LNC010043)
Source: RNAcentral
UAUUCAGCAAAACCUAGAACCAAUUUUAUAGAUAUGCGAUGAUACAAAGAAAUUAGAUUUUCAGAUACAACUUUACACAAUGACUGUAGGGAAUUAUUUACAUCACCACUAUUCCCUACUUACAAUCAAAACCUAUCACUAUCACAAAACACUACAGCUACAUACCAACAAGCAUGCGGGAGAUAACGUGUGAGAAUAAAAAGAAGAAAAAUGAGAGAAGACCAAUCGGCUCCUCCCUUCAAAUUCAGCCAACCACCAUCUCCAAUCCUUUGACUUUACAGCCAACAACUCACUUAUUAAAGCACCAGCCUAACA